Lates calcarifer (barramundi perch) is the source of this 481-nucleotide non-coding RNA. The record is from the annotation of a RefSeq genome assembly. Lineage: Eukaryota; Metazoa; Chordata; Actinopteri; Centropomidae.
ACUCCUCCCAUCACAGACUGACAGUGACUCUGGUCUCUAAGUUCAUUUUGCUCAGAACACAAUAAUGAUCUCAGCUGGUCUGAUCAAAGUCUCUGCAGCUCUGCUCUGUGUUGUAGGUCUAAGUGAUGGGAGUGAUGUCACCCAAACCCCUCUGUUGUGGAAGAACGAGGGUCAGUCUGCUACAAUAGACUGCAGUCACACUAAGGAUGCUAGCUACUUCCAGAUGUACUGGUACAGACAGCUGCCAGGGGAGAUGAUGAAGCAAAUUGUUUUCACAACUACAACUCCACCACAUAAAUAUGAGAGUGGCUUUAGUGAGGACAAAUUUCCAGCAAAGAAGAACGAUGCUCAGACUGGAUCUUUGACUGUGGAGAAGCUGCUGCAUAAUGACAGUGGAGUGUAUUUCUGUGCUGUGAGUAAACACAGUGAUACAGGCGACUUAGACAGCUGUACAAAUACUCAACUGUCAGUGUCACAGUGA